Non-coding RNA from Prunus mume (Japanese apricot), 305 nucleotides. Lineage: Eukaryota; Viridiplantae; Streptophyta; Magnoliopsida; Rosales; Rosaceae. The record is from RefSeq and is a predicted model, not a curated record.
UUGAGGAAGGAGAAAUACCCAAGUACAUCCAAUGAGCCUAUCUUUAGGAAGUGAAGAUAUUUUUCGCUUCUCAGUUGCUCUCCCUUUUACGCAGAUUACCGAACUGAAAUUGUAAAAUGUAUGUGCACGACAAUGCGAAAUGGUCUUCUUGUGCGUUUAAUUCCUUUCAUACUCGUAUAACUUGUAAUCUAUGCUACAUUUUCAUAAAAUGUGCCAAGAUAUUCGAACAUUUUCAUGAAAUGUUUGAAUAUUUCGUUUGGCUGCACCGAAAAAAUAUCAUUAGUUACCAAAAGGGAUUUUUUGUU